AGCAGCCGCGGUAAUUCCAGCUCCAAUAGCGUAUAUUAAAGUUGUUGCAGUUAAAAGCUCGUGGUUGAAUUUCGGGAUUGACACAUCGGUCGUGCCUUAAGGGGUAUGAACUGGUGUAGUCAAUUUCUCACCUUCUGGAGAACCGCAAUGCCCUUAAUUGGGUGUCGCGGGGAACCAGGACCUUUACUUUGAAAAAAUUAGAGUGUUUAAAGCAGGCAUUUUGCUUGAAUACAUUAGCAUGGAAUAAUAAAAUAGGACGGCAUGAUUCUAUUUUGUUGGUUUCUAGGAUCACCGUAAUGAUUAAUAGGGAUAGUUGGGGGCAUUAGUAUUCAAUUGUCAGAGGUGAAAUUCUUGGAUUUAUUGAAGACUAACUACUGCGAAAGCAUUUGCCAAGGAUGUUUUUCAUUAAUCAAGAACGAAAGUUAGGGGAUCGAAGACGAUCAGAUACCGUCGUAGUCUUAACCAUAAACUAUGUCGACUAGGAAUCAGACGAUGUUAAUUUUUUAAUGACUCGUUUGGC
This 520-nucleotide ribosomal RNA is filed under the name uncultured Entrophospora. RNAcentral's name for it is "SSU rRNA". It matches the Rfam family "Eukaryotic small subunit ribosomal RNA", at positions 569 to 1084 of the family's 1831-position model. The record is from RNAcentral. Lineage: Eukaryota; Fungi; Glomeromycota; Glomeromycetes; Entrophosporales; Entrophosporaceae.